UGGAUCCAGACUUUGAUUAUGGCUCAGGAUAAACGCUGGCGGCGCACAUAAGACAUGCAGGUCGAACGAACUUAAUACCUUGCUUGCAAGGUAAGCGGUUAGUGGCGGACUGGUGAGUAACACGUAAGAAAUCUGCCUAUCAGAGGGGAAUAACAGUGAGAAAUCAUUGCUAAUACCGCAUAUGCCAUAGUUAUCGCAUGAUAAUAGUGGGAAAGGAGCAAUCCGCUGAUAGAUGAGCUUGCGGCUGAUUAGCUAGUUGGUGGGGUAAAGGCCUACCAAGGCGACGAUCAGUAGCCGGACUGAGAGGUUGAACGGCCACAUUGGGACUGAGAUACGGCCCAGACUCCUACGGGAGGCAGCAGUCGGGAAUAUUGCGCAAUGGAGGAAACUCUGACGCAGUGACGCCGCGUAUAGGAAGAAGGUUUUCGGAUUGUAAACUAUUGUCCACAGGGAAGAAAAGGACUGUACCUGUGAAGAAAGCUCCGGCUAACUACGUGCCAGCAGCCGCGGUAAUACGUAGGGAGCAAGCGUUAUCCGGAAUUAUUGGGUGUAAAGGGUGCGUAGACGGGAUAACAAGUUAGUUGUGAAACCCCUCGGCUUAACUGAGGAACUGCAACUAAAACUAUUAUUCUUGAGUGCAGGAGGGGAAAGUGGAAUUCCUAGUGUAGCGGUGAAAUGCGUAGAUAUUAGGAAGAACACCAGUGGCGAAGGCGACUUUCUGGACUGUAACUGACGUUGAGGCACGAAAGUGUGGGGAGCAAACAGGAUUAGAUACCCUGGUAGUCCACACUGUAAACGAUGGAUACUAGGUGUAGGAGAUAUUAAAGCUUCUGUGCCGUCGCAAACGCAGUAAGUAUCCCACCUGGGGAGUACGACCGCAAGGUUGCAACUCAAAGGAAUUGACGGA
RNAcentral lists this ribosomal RNA (907 nucleotides) under uncultured Bacillota bacterium. RNAcentral describes it as "bacterial SSU rRNA". It matches the Rfam family "Bacterial small subunit ribosomal RNA", at positions 1 to 917 of the family's 1533-position model. The record is from RNAcentral. Lineage: Bacteria; Bacillati; Bacillota.